GUACACUCCUACGGGAGGCAGCAGUGGGGAAUAUUGCACAAUGGGCGCAAGCCUGAUGCAGCCAUGCCGCGUGUAUGAAGAAGGCCUUCGGGUUGUAAAGUACUUUCAGCGGGGAGGAAGGCGAUAAGGUUAAUAACCUUGUUGAUUGACGUUACCCGCAGAAGAAGCACCGGCUAACUCCGUGCCAGCAGCCGCGGUAAUACGGAGGGUGCAAGCGUUAAUCGGAAUUACUGGGCGUAAAGCGCACGCAGGCGGUCUGUCAAGUCGGAUGUGAAAUCCCCGGGCUCAACCUGGGAACUGCAUUCGAAACUGGCAGGCUAGAGUCUUGUAGAGGGGGGUAGGAUUCCAGGUGUAGCGGUGAAAUGCGUAGAGAUCUGGAGGAAUACCGGUGGCGAAGGCGGCCCCCUGGACAAAGACUGACGCUCAGGUGCGAAAGCGUGGGGAGCAAACAGGAUUAGAUACCCCGGUAGUCCC
Molecule: ribosomal RNA, 474 nt
Filed under: uncultured organism
Description: partial 16S ribosomal RNA
Rfam family: Bacterial small subunit ribosomal RNA
Source: RNAcentral